Molecule: ribosomal RNA, 449 nt
Filed under: uncultured bacterium
Lineage: Bacteria
Description: partial 16S ribosomal RNA
Rfam family: Bacterial small subunit ribosomal RNA
Source: RNAcentral
GUGGGGAAUAUUGGACAAUGGGGGCAACCCUGAUGGAGCGACGCCGCGUGGAGGAUAAGGUCUUCGGAUUGUAAACUCCUGUCAUGCGUGAACAAGGUUGCUUGGUUAAUACCUGGGCAAAUUGAUGGUAACGCAAGAGGAAGAGACGGCUAACUCUGUGCCAGCAGCCGCGGUAAUACAGAGGUCUCAAGCGUUGUUCGGAAUCACUGGGCGUAAAGGGUGCGUAGGUGGCGUGGUAAGUCAGAUGUGAAAGCCCGGGGCUCAACCUCGGAACUGCAUCCGAUACUGCCAUGCUAGAGUACUGGAGAGGUGACUAGAAUUCUCGGUGUAGCAGUGAAAUGCGUAGAUAUCGAGAGGAAUACCAAAGGCGUAGGCAGGUCACUGGACAGUUACUGACACUGAGGCACGAAGGCCAGGGGAGCGAACGGGAUUAGAAACCCGAGUAGUCC